CCUACGGGUGGCAGCAGUAGGGAAUAUUGCUCAAUGGGGGAAACCCUGAAGCAGCAACGUCGCGUGGAGGAUGACGGUUUUCUGAUUGUAAACUCCUUUUGUUAGAGAAGAUAAUGACGGUAUCUAACGAAUAAGCAACGUCUAAUUUCGUUCCAGCAGCCGCGGUAAUACGGCGGGUGCAAGCGUUACUCGGAAUCACGGGGCGUAAAGAGCGCGUAGGCGGGAUAGCAAGUCAGAUGUGAAAUCCUAUGGCGUAACCCUAGAACUGCAUUUGAAACUGUUAUACUCGAGUAUGGGCGAGGUAGGUGGAAUUCGUGGUGUAGGGGUAAAAUCCGUAGAGAUCAAGAGGAAUACUCAUUGCGAAGGCGACCUACUAGAACAUAACUGACGCUGAUGCGCGAAAGCGUGGGGAGCAAACAGGAUUAGAUACCCGAGUAGUC
Molecule: ribosomal RNA, 440 nt
Filed under: uncultured bacterium
Lineage: Bacteria
Description: partial 16S ribosomal RNA
Rfam family: Bacterial small subunit ribosomal RNA
Source: RNAcentral